RNAcentral lists this unclassified non-coding RNA (1674 nucleotides) under Hevea brasiliensis (rubber tree). The record is from RNAcentral. Lineage: Eukaryota; Viridiplantae; Streptophyta; Magnoliopsida; Malpighiales; Euphorbiaceae.
CACAAAUUAAAAUUUAUAUUUCUUAAAGUACCAUCCACUCUAAUUUCUCUCCCCUUUCCUCUCAAGGCCCCACUCGCAUUUCAAACCAAAUACUAAGCUCUGUUCUCAAUAUCUAGAUUCUCUACCACCAAACUAACAUUCUAUUACCAAAAACUUAAUCUGUGUCUGAAUCUCUCUGCUCCUUCCUUUGAAUUCUCCGCUAAUUCAUUAUGGAAACAGUUACAGCACCAACCAAAAACCCCAAGAUGACAGACACUAAUAAUGUCGAAUUGAAUUCCAGCUUUCUCUUCCACAACGGCUUCAAUCCUUCUUUUCAAAUUUCUGAUAUAGAGAUGAUAGCCAUACAGCCCGUCACCUACACCAGCCUCAAGGACCUAUUGCCGGUCUCACCUCCUACGAUCUCCUCACCCACCCACAACUCCAGCUGGUACGAGAUCCCGAUCAAGAACCCGCUCGUUAAGCAGGCGGCUUUGGCUUACUUGCAACCGAUGUCGAGCCCGCCUGAGAUUGGAGAUAAAGGGUUUUUCGGGAGAUUGAGAGAUAUGUGUUGUGGCGAAUAUGGGUGCUUUGGGUGGAUAAACGACGUCGUGUUCAAGUGUUUGAGAGAAUCGUGUUGGGAGAGAACCGAUGAAAUUGAGGAUGAAGAUGAUGACGAUGAUGACGAGGAUGAGGAAGAGGAAGUAGACAAUGAUGAGGCAGAAUUUGCAGAGCCAGAGAGUACAGGAAGGUUAACAAGCACGGAAGGGGAGAUUGAUGGCCAUGAUCAAGGAGAGGAUGAUGUAGAAGAGGAUGAUAAUGGGGAGACUGGAGAAGAAGAACAGGGUGUUGAUGAUGAUGAUGGAGAAUUUGAAGAUGAAGAAGAGGGUGAGGAAGAGGUGAGAUACUCUAGGAUGUAAUUUAGUCCUUCAUUUUAGUUUUUUUUUUUGCUGUACAUGUGCUGUUCAGUUGAAUUGACUGAUUGAUAGGUAUUCUUCCUCAGAAUCUGGAAGGAGGGGACCUGCAUAGCUGCCGUUACUGACACAACCUCAUCUUACUUAUUGCUGACUUGAUAUCUUGCAUUUUUUUUUUUGUGAAUUUUUACUGAUAUUGCUGGCUGGUUUUUGCAUUUUCUUUUGUAUGAAUUUCUACUCGUGUGUAGUCCUUUUAUAGUGUAGACAUUCUUUGUGCCAUAUUGUUAGUAAACAUGAAAUCAUUGUUUUUACUGGGAUUACCCAAGAGGCCAAGACGUAGUUAUUGUGGUAAAUGGUCACUGAAAAAAAAGGAAUUGUAACCUGCAGUUUUGAUGCAAAAACAGUCAUGGCCAUCUAGCAUGUGUAGGAGGAUAAGAUAUUACUUUUUGGAUACAAUGCUUUCAUUUUUUUUCCCCUCAGAACACUACUGUGCUGUUGAGAAUGAUGUGGAAAUUGGGGGAAAAAGGAAAGGAAAAUGCCAUAGUUCCUUGGUAACCAUGAUGUAGUAAGUAAAAUCUUGGAAAGCUAGUAUGUAAUCUGCCGUAAUGUAUCAACUUUCUUAUAUUUAUUAUUUUCUAAUUUGUGGUCGUAGCAAUGAUAAGCUAGACAAUAAAUGUGCUGUUUGAUUCUAGUACAUUUGCACUUUUUAUGCACAUAUGGUGCAAUUUUACCUUUAGUGCGCACUACAAGUGUAGCAAAUUUAUCUUCCAACUAUUUCAAGAAC